RNAcentral lists this long non-coding RNA (2627 nucleotides) under Macaca fascicularis (crab-eating macaque). Its description in RNAcentral is "lncRNA (ENSMFAG00000059230.1)". Lineage: Eukaryota; Metazoa; Chordata; Mammalia; Primates; Cercopithecidae. The record is from RNAcentral.
CUGGCACCCGGAUCUUGGUUUCCUAGUCCCGUUCUGCCCGAAGGGAACCAGCGCUCCAUGGGGAAGUGGCUGAUUCUAGGACUGGGACAGGAAAAAUACAAGAUGGGUCUGGAGCAUCCUGCAGUGCCAUAAAGGAAGAAAGUGCUCAGAACAAACAACUACAGACCACACACACACGCACACACAUGCACCAUGCACACACACACCCCACAAACUCACACACACCACAAACACAUACACAUGCACAAUGGACACACACACGCAUACACACAAAGGCACCAUGCACACACACACACACACACCAUAAACAUACAUACACUCACACACACCAUGCACACACAUACACCACAAACACACACACACACACCACACACACCAUGCACUCACACACAGGCACCGUGCACACACAUACACACCACAAACACACACACCACAAACACAUACACAUGCACAAUGGACACACACACGCAUACACACAAAGGCACCAUGCACACACAUACACACCACAAACACAUACACACACCACAAACACACACACACACACCACACACACCAUGCACUCACACGCAGGCACCGUGCAUACACAUACACACCACAAACAUACACACAUACAUUCACACACAUGCCACACACACACACGCACCAUGCACACACACACACACCACAAACAUACAUACACUCACACACACCAUGCACACACACACCACAAACACACAUACACACACUACAAACACACAUGCACCAUGCACACAAAUAUACACACACAUCACACACACACCAUACACUCACACACAGGCAUUGUGCACACACACACAUACACACCGCAAACAUACAUACACACAUACACUCACACACACACCAUGCACACAUAUACACCACACACAUACACCACAAACACACACACAUACAUACACACAAAGGCACCAUGCACACACACACACCAGGCACCAUGCACACACACACACUCCACAAACAUACAUACACACACACACACCAUGCACACACACACACACCACAAACACGCAUACAUACACAUACCACAAACACAUCACACACCAUGCACACACGCACACACCACAAACACACAUACACAUACACCCACCAUGCACAUACACACACCACAAACAUGCGCACCAUGCACACACACACCACAAACACACACACCUUGCACAUACACAUACACACCACAAACAUACAUACACUCACACACAUGCACCAUGCACACACAUAUACACACACACCAGACACAUACAUGCACCAUGCACAGACACACCCCACACACAUACACACAUGCACCACGCACAUACACAGCACACACACACACCAUGCACACACAUAUAUAAACACCACCUGCAUACAUAUGUCAUACACACAUACACCACACACACAUACAAACACACCACAACACACACAUACACACACCACAAACACACCACACACACAUCACACACAUACACGGCACACACACAUACACACACACACCAUGCACACACAUAUAUACACAUACCACACACACCACACACACAUGCACCAUGCACAUACACAUACACCACAAACAUACAUACACACAUACACUCACACACAUACACACCCAAACUCACACACACACCAUGCACACACCACAAACAGGCAUACAUACAUACAUACACUUUUACACACACACCAUACAUACACACACAUCACACACAUACAACAUACACACACGACAAACACAUACACGCCCCAUGCACACACACAUACACACACCACACAUAUACACAUACACCACACACAUACGCAUGCACCAUGCACACACAUACACACAACAUACACAUACACACCACAAAUAUGCACCAUGCCCACAAAUACACACACACCACACAUACAACAUACACACAAGCACCAUGCACAUACACGCACCAUGCAUACACACAUAUACCCACAUAUACACCACAUACACAUACACACGCACAUACACACAUACACUAAACGCAUACAUACGCACACACCACACACACAUACACAUGCACACACGUGCACAUACACAUGUAUACACAUACACAUGCACACACAUAGACACCAAACACAAAGAUACACACACACACUCGAUGUAAAUAUGCGAGUGGACCCAGCGUCCAACGGAGUGAACUCCCAGAGUUUGAGCAACACAAUGAAUGAAGUAGCACCUCAUUCUACAUCCCUAACCCAAAGUGUGCUGUAAAUAUCUACAAGUCCAUAGCGAUAUAAAUAAGUGAUCAAAUAAAUUCACAAAUGGGGGAGAAGAGACCAAUCUCCUCUGUGGAAGAAUUCUAAACCAAUGGCGUAGACACUGCCCCUAAGGAGGAGCAGAGCCCCCCACCCAGCCCCUCGACUUGGGCUGGCGCAGUGCCGCCCGUCCAGAGAGCACGGGGUGGGAAGGGCUGGGCUCCUUCUGCGCGGCUCCACCUGCAGAAACCCUCGGGGCUGGCAGAUCCCUCAUGGCUAGCAGAGGAGCCUGAGGGCUCUGCCUCUGCAGAAGACGAGGCCGGGCCAAGUCAGGAGUUCACCGAUGAUGUUGCCCUUUUUUUUUUUUUGAGACGGAGUCUUGCUCUGUCACCCAGGCUGGAAUACAGUGGCCGGAUCUCAGCUCACUGCAAGCUCCUCCUCUA